RNAcentral lists this ribosomal RNA (497 nucleotides) under uncultured bacterium. Its description in RNAcentral is "partial 16S ribosomal RNA". It matches the Rfam family "Bacterial small subunit ribosomal RNA", at positions 28 to 507 of the family's 1533-position model. The record is from RNAcentral.
GAUGAACGCUGGCGGCGUGCCUAAUACAUGCAAGUAGAACGCUGAAGGAAGGAGCUUGCUCUUUCCGGAUGAGUUGCGAACGGGUGAGUAACGCGUAGGUAACCUGCCUGGUAGCGGGGGAUAACUAUUGGAAACGAUAGCUAAUACCGCAUAACAGUAGAUGUUGCAUGAUAUCUACUUAAAAGGUGCAAUUGCACCACUACCAGAUGGACCUGCGUUGUAUUAGCUAGUUGGUGAGGUAACGGCUCACCAAGGCGACGAUACAUAGCCGACCUGAGAGGGUGAUCGGCCACACUGGGACUGAGACACGGCCCAGACUCCUACGGGAGGCAGCAGUAGGGAAUCUUCGGCAAUGGACAGAAGUCUGACCGAGCAACGCCGCGUGAGUGAAGAAGGUUUUCGGAUCGUAAAGCUCUGUUGUAAGAGAAGAACGAGUGUGAGAGUGAAAAGUUCACACUGUGACGGUAUCUUACCAGAAAGGGACGGCUAACUACGUG